CCCGCUGAACUUAAGCAUAUCAAUAAGCGGAGGAAAAGAAACUAACAAGGAUUCCCCUAGUAACGGCGAGUGAAGCGGGAACAGCUCAAAUUUGAAACCUGGCGGCCUUCGGUCGUCCGGAUUGUAUUCUAGAGAAGCGUCUUCCACGCUGGUCCACGUAUAAGUGCCCUGGAACGGGCUGUCAUAGAGGGUGAGAAUCCCGUCCUUGAUGUGGGCUACCAGUGUUUUUGUGAUGCGCUUUCGAAGAGUCGAGUUGUUUGGGAAUGCAGUUCAAAGUGGGUGGUAAAUUCCAUCUAAAGCUAAAUAUUGGCCUGAGACCGAUAGCGAACAAGUACCGUGAGGGAAAGAUGAAAAGCACUUUGAAAAGAGAGUCAAACAGUACGUGAAAUUGCUGAAAGGGAAACGCUUGAAGUCAGUCGCGCCCUCUGGAAUUCAGCCCUGCUUUUGUAGGGUGUACUUUCCAGGGGGUGGGCCAACAUCAGUUUUGGCCGGCAGAUAAAGGCUGGGGGAAUGUGGCUCCUUCGGGAGUGUUAUAGCCCCCAGUCACUUAUGCCGGUUGGGACUGAGGAACGCAGCGCGCCCUUGUGGCAGGCCUUCGGGCACUUUCGCGCUUAGGAUGUUGGCAUAAUGGCUUUAAGCGACCCGUCUUGAAACACGG
RNAcentral lists this ribosomal RNA (658 nucleotides) under uncultured fungus. RNAcentral describes it as "eukaryotic LSU rRNA". It matches the Rfam family "Eukaryotic large subunit ribosomal RNA", at positions 24 to 664 of the family's 3401-position model. Lineage: Eukaryota; Fungi. The record is from RNAcentral.